GGCAACCCUGACGGAGCAACGCCGCGUGGGGGAGGAAUGUCUGUGGAUUGUAAACCCCUUUUCUCAGGGAAGAAGUUCUGACGGUACCUGAGGAAUCAGCAUCGGCUAACUCCGUGCCAGCAGCCGCGGUAAGACGGAGGAUGCAAGCGUUAUCCGGAAUUAUUGGGCGUAAAGCGUCCGUAGGCGGUUUAUCAAGUCUGCCGUUAAAGACUGCAGCUUAACUGUGGGCGAGCGGUGGAAACUGAUGAACUAGAGUACGGUAGGGGUGGAGGGAAUUCCCAGUGUAGCAGUGAAAUGCGUAGAUAUUGGGAAGAACACCAGUGGCGAAGGCGCUCUACUGGGCCGUAACUGACGCUGAGGGACGAAAGCUAGGGGAGCG
Molecule: ribosomal RNA, 379 nt
Filed under: uncultured cyanobacterium
Lineage: Bacteria; Bacillati; Cyanobacteriota
Description: bacterial SSU rRNA
Rfam family: Bacterial small subunit ribosomal RNA
Source: RNAcentral